AGCAGCCGCGGUAAUUCCAGCUCCAAUAGCGUAUAUUAAAGUUGUUGCAGUUAAAAAGCUCGUAGUUGAACUUCGGGGUUUACUCAUUGGUCAGGCUUAAUUGUCUGUACUGGUGAGAUGAAUCUCUACCUUCUGAGGAACUUUCAUGCCAUUUAUUUGGUGUGGUUGGAAAUCAGGACUGUUACUUUGAAAAAAUUAGAGUGUUUAAAGCAGGCUAACGUCUGAAUACAUUAGCAUGGAAUAAUGAAAUAGGACGGAUUGAUUCUAUUUCGUUGGUUUCUAGGGUCACCGUAAUGAUUAAUAGGGAUAGUUGGGGGCAUUAGUAUUCAAUUGUCAGAGGUGAAAUUCUUGGAUUUAUUGAAGACUAACUACUGCGAAAGCAUUUGCCAAGGAUGUUUUCAUUAAUCAAGAACGAAAGUUAGGGGAUCGAAGACGAUCAGAUACCGUCGUAGUCUUAACCAUAAACUAUGCCGACUAGGGAUCGGACGAAGUUAAUUAAUAAUGACGCGUUCGGCACCUUACG
Molecule: ribosomal RNA, 523 nt
Filed under: uncultured Diversisporaceae
Lineage: Eukaryota; Fungi; Glomeromycota; Glomeromycetes; Diversisporales
Description: SSU rRNA
Rfam family: Eukaryotic small subunit ribosomal RNA
Source: RNAcentral